This 716-nucleotide long non-coding RNA is filed under the name Equus caballus (horse). Its description in RNAcentral is "lncRNA (ENSECAG00000053626.1)". The record is from RNAcentral. Lineage: Eukaryota; Metazoa; Chordata; Mammalia; Perissodactyla; Equidae.
CUGGGCUAGAAAAGGCCACGGACCUUCCACCAGUUUCUCUAGGUAGAGCUCCGGCUGUCCCUGUCUCUCAGCCACAGUACCAGACACGUGACAUCUGAAGUUAGUCCCCCCAGCAAUGACUGACUUAGUUCUGUGGCUUCUCAGUUUGAAUUGCUUGGUUGCUAUGCUCUCAUCUAUGAUUGUCGCCAGAGGCUGAGACUGACAUUGUCCAGGAAGAUCACUGCAGCAUCAAUAGCCAUGUAUUUCUUAUAAAAGAGGUCAAAUUGAUGAAGGACUGUGACUGCAUGGGACAAGGAGGGCUGCUGUGAAAGGCACAGACAAUUUUUACGUGCCAGCUUUCCUUAUAUUUGUCUGUUUCGUUAAUCAUGCGUCCAACCCAGAUCUCGUUCCAUCCUGUGGGAAGAGAGGGCCUGGCAGGAGGAGGUCUGAGCACAAAGAGCAGGGGAGCAGUAGCAACUCAUCUUUCAUAGUUGGCAAACGGCUAUCAGGAAGAUCAUCUUGACUUUCUCUCUCCCUGUUGACCUUAUCAGUAGCAGAUGUUGGAAGUGCAUGAGGAACAAAGGAUGGAGAAGCAGCUUGGAGGGGAUCAUCAGCAGCAAGGCACAGCUCUUGGAAGCCGGCAAUCACUCAGAAGCAAGGAGACAGUUUCCUAAUCAAUGUCCCUCUCUACAGACCAGCUACUGUCCAAGUCUAGACACAGUCCAGAUACUGAUUUU